CCUACGGGAGGCAGCAGUGGGGAAUAUUGCACAAUGGGGGGAACCCUGAUGCAGCGACGCCGCGUGAGUGAAGAAGUAUUUCGGUAUGUAAAGCUCUAUCAGCAGGGAAGAAAAUGACGGUACCUGACUAAGAAGCCCCGGCUAACUACGUGCCAGCAGCCGCGGUAAUACGUAGGGGGCAAGCGUUAUCCGGAUUUACUGGGUGUAAAGGGAGCGUAGACGGUUAUGUAAGUCUGGAGUGAAAGCCCGGGGCCCAACCCCGGGACUGCUUUGGAAACUGUGUAACUGGAGUGCAGGAGGGGCAGGCGGAAUUCCUGGUGUAGCGGUGAAAUGCGUAGAUAUCAGGAGGAACACCGGCGGCGAAGGCGGCCUGCUGGACUGAAACUGACGUUGAGGCUCGAAAGCGUGGGGAGCAAACAGGAUUAGAUACCCUUGUAGUC
RNAcentral lists this ribosomal RNA (440 nucleotides) under uncultured bacterium. RNAcentral describes it as "partial 16S ribosomal RNA". It matches the Rfam family "Bacterial small subunit ribosomal RNA", at positions 338 to 795 of the family's 1533-position model. The record is from RNAcentral.